UACAGAGGGUGCGAGCGUUAAUCGGAAUUACUGGGCGUAAAGCGCACGUAGGUGGCGACGUAAGUCGGGUGUGAAAGCCCCGGGCUCAACCUGGGAAUUGCAUUCGAGACUGCAUUGCUGGAGUACGGAAGAGGAGGGCGGAAUUCCCGGUGUAGCGGUGAAAUGCGUAGAUAUCGGGAGGAGCAUCAGUGGCGAAGGCGGCCCUCUGGUCCAGUACUGACACUCAAGUGCGAAAGCGUGGGGAGCAAACAGG
RNAcentral lists this ribosomal RNA (253 nucleotides) under uncultured bacterium. Its description in RNAcentral is "partial 16S ribosomal RNA". It matches the Rfam family "Bacterial small subunit ribosomal RNA", at positions 524 to 776 of the family's 1533-position model. The record is from RNAcentral.